This 153-nucleotide small RNA is filed under the name Terrisporobacter glycolicus. RNAcentral's name for it is "M-box riboswitch (ykoK leader)". It matches the Rfam family "M-box riboswitch aptamer (ykoK leader)". Rfam says of the family: M-box riboswitch, also know as ykoK leader is described as a metaloregulatory RNA that sense divalent metals and function as a genetic control element of genes related to divalent metal transport in bacteria. The record is from RNAcentral. Lineage: Bacteria; Bacillati; Bacillota; Clostridia; Peptostreptococcales; Peptostreptococcaceae.
AAAAAAUCGGUAGGUGAGGUUACCUUAGGGAUACGGGUUGGUGCCGCGAAAUAGUGGAAACACUAUUAGAUGGUUAGCAGGAUACAUCGGAAAAAGAAGGUGUAUUCUAAUUCAAUUACAUUGCCCUAAGAAGCUAAAGCUUGAACGAGAAUU